This 237-nucleotide unclassified non-coding RNA is filed under the name Glomus sp. RNAcentral describes it as "partial contains 5.8S ribosomal RNA and internal transcribed spacer 2". The stretch from base 1 to 65 matches the Rfam family "5.8S ribosomal RNA", at positions 84 to 154 of the family's 154-position model. The record is from RNAcentral. Lineage: Eukaryota; Fungi; Glomeromycota; Glomeromycetes; Glomerales; Glomeraceae.
GUGAAUCAUCAAAUUUUUGAACGCAAAUUGCACUCUCUUCGGAGAGUAUGCCUGUUUGAGGGUCAGCCUAAAAAAAAACGACGUAGUCGCUGUUUCGCGGUGACAUUCGGCGGAAAUUGGGUUAUCUUAAACCUUUGGGUUUUUUUAGUGGCUUAAAAUUUUCUUUACGUUUCCACGAACGUUUCCUAGAUUUUUCUUCUUACACACGUUUAAGGUAUCGAUCUUUUUUUGGCGUGG